AUGAAGAAAUCCUUUGACAGACGCGGCAGACCUCCAAAAGAGACGCCUGCCACAGAUUUGACGCCAAUUGAGAUUCGUACACAAGUGACCAGAGUCAAUGGAAAAACUGCAUUGAAAGCUUCCAACUGCAACGCAGAUGGCAUCACGCACCAGGGAAGCAUUGCCAGCACUCCACAAGUUGCGUCUGAUAGUGUUGCAUCAACCACAUUUUUGGAUGAACAUUGUCCGCUCACUCCGUCUUCAAUUAGAGGAGAGGAUUCUUCCUCUAAGUAUUUGUCUCCGACAAUAUUUUCCAGGUCUAAUCUUUCAGGAAUUGUAAUGUAUGAGGGUGAGGUGCAAACCAUAGGCACCUCGGGCCACUAUGUUGCAUAUGCCCUAGAUCGGAAUGGACGAUGGAGGCUGGAUUUAUAAUUGACUGUUCCCAGAAAGGAGAAAAAUCAUUCAUUAGAAACUCAUACUCAUUUUAUUGUAUCGUCAUUUCUUUCCUCCAGUUUCUUAAUUACAUAAGUAUCUGCUGUCUCUAAUUUCUGGGCGACUAAUGAGAUAAAUCACUCUAACUUAUCUUUCCAAGUUUUUGAGAUGAAAUUUCAGUGAACACCUCUUUUUCAAAUAGUGUUCAGAAGUUUUAAGUCUGUGAUGAAACUUAGAAGAAGUAUAUUUCAUCAUUUUUGAAUGCCAUAAUCCUCUCAGGUAUUCUUUACGUCUCCAAACUUUAAUCUGGUCCCAGGACAAAAUGAUUCAAUCCGUUAAAAAAAAAACCAAUUGUUUAUUUUUAUUAACUUUUGAGAGAGAGUUGAACUUUUUCAACAAGGCAUUUUUUAGAAAUUCCCAAUCUAAAUCUUCAAAACAUCCCUUCACAAUGGGAACUAAGUAUCUGAGAUUCUAGCUUCUUCUGAUGAGAGUAACCCUUUCUUUUAUCGCCUUUGAAAGUUCAUUGUAUUCAUUCAUUAUUUCAGCCGGAUAAAACUUUCAUUUGCCUCUUCUGAGUCAUUUGCGUACCUUUGUGAUGUUAGAUUCAGCAUUAUGAUUAAAGUCAUUGAUAUGAAGGAAUUGUUGAAAAGCUCCUGUAGUCAUGGAAUAGCGGGGAGAGAUAGGCUCUUGUCAGUGGCAAAUUAGAAUUUAGCCUCCGAGGAAUGAAAAUUAGCUCACUAGAAGUUUGGCUCGUUUUCUUCAUAGUUUCCUUUGAUGACAGUAAUUGAUAUAGUUCGUAGUAGACAGUAGUUCGGUGAUGAUUUUAUUCCCUUUUAUCUUACUUUGGGAAAUAUAUCAAAAUCCUAAUCGUUCUCCAACUUGUAAAAGAAAUACUCACUUACUUAUCAUGAGGGUAACGACGGUGAUCCACAAUGAGGAAAAGCAGUUGAAUCAUUUAAUUUCAGGCGGGGAGGAGUCACAUUUUCUUCUUUAGAAACUGAUUUAAAACCGAAAAGCCAAAAUAAUGAUGAAAAGUGAGAUUUCUCACUUACAAAUCACGAAACUAUUUCACUUCACACAACGCGAUGGAUUUGUUUGUUUUCAUUCGCACAUUUGAGGAAACUUUGAGGUUAGGUUUCGUAGGUAACAAUAACAAACAUUGGAAAACACGGGAGGAAGAAUCACAGACCUCGAAGUGGAGUCAGCAAUUAAAAAACGCUGAAUUCAAUUUAACUUUGUUUGGGCUGAAAUUUUCGGAGCAUCAAUUUAAAGCAAUGGGCUUGAAAUUUGCGAUUUAGAUUAAGAAAAUUAAGGGGUUAAUUUUAAAGAAAACUCGCUCCUUCUCAUGCAGUUGCUCAGAACUCACAUGAGGUGCCCUCACCUCUGAAAAUUAGCCGGCUUCAAUUCUUAAUUUUCUACGAUGAAAUUUUGAGUGUAGAUCAAUUUAACGUCUGGCAACAGAAGUGCGAUUCCAAAAAUCCGAUAUUCUGACUCUUUUUUUCAAAGAGAGUCCAUUUUCGUCACGAGAGUCGCGUAAUGGCGGCUUUUCGAAUUUCGCGGUUCUUUGUCGACCGUGGCGCGAUCUCUUAUCACAGAUUCUCAACUCGACAAGCCAUCGAAUCACCUUAAAAAGUGAGUGGUAUAUUGCACUAAGCCCGCUGACGUCAGUGCGGUAAUUACACACAGAAUCCCCAUGCUUGAGGAUUUCGAUCAUUUCCAGGACCAGUCUGGGAAACAACUUCUCUUCCUUACAUAAAACUACCACUUUAUCAAAAUCGAACCGAAAUGACUCAGUGUUGAGUCGAAACGUCUCGGGUUUCAUAAUUGUGUAUUUUUAGCCUUGUUUCCCGUUUUUCA
This 2268-nucleotide long non-coding RNA is filed under the name Bemisia tabaci. RNAcentral describes it as "lncRNA ENSSSA3NGG013792". Lineage: Eukaryota; Metazoa; Arthropoda; Insecta; Hemiptera; Aleyrodidae. The record is from RNAcentral.